Molecule: transfer RNA, 73 nt
Filed under: Ignavibacteriales bacterium
Lineage: Bacteria; Pseudomonadati; Ignavibacteriota; Ignavibacteria; Ignavibacteriales
Also listed under: 1 other name
Description: tRNA-Phe
Rfam family: tRNA
About the family: Transfer RNA (tRNA) molecules are approximately 80 nucleotides in length. Their secondary structure includes four short double-helical elements and three loops (D, anti-codon, and T loops).
Source: RNAcentral
GGGCAGGUAGCUCAGUUGGUAGAGCAAAGGACUGAAAAUCCUUGUGUCGGCGGUUCAAUUCCGUCCCUGCCCA